RNAcentral lists this long non-coding RNA (498 nucleotides) under Oryza sativa aromatic subgroup. RNAcentral describes it as "lncRNA OsARC_11g0017140". Lineage: Eukaryota; Viridiplantae; Streptophyta; Magnoliopsida; Poales; Poaceae. The record is from RNAcentral.
UCAAAUCCAACGACCCGUGAUCACCUUACAAUCCAAUGGCUCAGAUCACUCCCCAACGUCCCACGCGGCCACGCAACGUCCCUUGCGAACUCUAGCGUCUUCCUCUCAAGCGCCGCCGCAGUCGUGUUGCCUCCUGAUCAUCCGCCGCCAGAUCGCCGUCUUUGCUGUCCUCUUAGGUGCAGCCGCUGCGCACACCCACGGUGCGCACCUCCCUUCCCCGGUUCCCCAGCCCAGUGCUGCCCCCCUCCCUUCACCGUGCAAAACCCUAAGCGCCGCCACUACAAGCAGGUACCUUUGCCGCCAGGAGAUCGCCCUCAUGUCACCUCGCUGCCGUCUCACCAGAUCAUCGACGCACCGCCUCGCCAUACCGGUCCGGCGUCGACUCUGCACACGCUUCAGGGGAUCAGGGCAGGACAGAAGGAACACUAUGACCAUGUCCCCAUGGCCCAUGUCCAUGUACGCAUCAAGCUCCUAAGUGAUAAUCUGAUUGCCUGCUGA